UACGUAGGGUGCAAGCGUUAAUCGGAAUUACUGGGCGUAAAGCGCGCGUAGGCGGCUUGGUAAGUCGAUUGUGAAAUCCCCGGGCUCAACCUGGGAAUUGCAGUCGAUACUGUCAGGCUAGAGUGUGGGAGAGGGUAGUGGAAUUCCCGGUGUAGCGGUGAAAUGCGUAGAUAUCGGGAGGAACAUCAGUGGCGAAGGCGACUGCCUGGCCCAACACUGACGCUGAGGUGCGAAAGCGUGGGUAGCAAACAGG
Molecule: ribosomal RNA, 253 nt
Filed under: uncultured bacterium
Lineage: Bacteria
Description: partial 16S ribosomal RNA
Rfam family: Bacterial small subunit ribosomal RNA
Source: RNAcentral